Molecule: transfer RNA, 48 nt
Filed under: Riccardia sp. DS19653
Lineage: Eukaryota; Viridiplantae; Streptophyta; Jungermanniopsida; Metzgeriales; Aneuraceae
Description: partial tRNA-Leu
Source: RNAcentral
AAAAUUCGUUGGCUUCAUAGACCGUGAGGGUUCAAGUCCCCUCUANCC